UAGGGAAUCUUCGGCAAUGGACGAAAGCCUGAUCCAGCAAUGCCGCGUGUGUGAAGAAGGUCUUCGGAUUGUAAAGCACUUUCGACGGGGACGAUGAUGACGGUACCCGUAGAAGAAGCCCCCGGCUAACUUCGUGCCAG
This 140-nucleotide ribosomal RNA is filed under the name uncultured bacterium. Its description in RNAcentral is "partial 16S ribosomal RNA". It matches the Rfam family "Bacterial small subunit ribosomal RNA", at positions 355 to 511 of the family's 1533-position model. The record is from RNAcentral.